GACGAACGCUGGCGGCGUGCUUAACACAUGCAAGUCGAACGCUGAAGCACCAGCUUGCUGGUGUGGAUGAGUGGCGAACGGGUGAGUAAUACGUGAGUAACCUGCCCUUGACUCUGGGAUAAGCCCGGGAAACUGGGUCUAAUACUGGAUGCUACAUGUCACCGCAUGGUGGUGUGUGGAAAGGGUUUACUGGUCUUGGAUGGGCUCACGGCCUAUCGGCUUGUUGGUGAGGUAAUGGCUCACCAAGGCGACGACGGGUAGCGGGCCAGAGAGGGUGACAGGCCACACUGGGACUGAGACACGGCACAGACUCCGACGGGAGGCAGCAGGGGGGAAGAUUGCACAAGGGGCGAAAGCCUGAUGCAGCGACUCUGCGGAAGGGAUGACGGCUUUCGGGUUGUAAACCGCUUUCAACAGGGAAGAAGCCACAAGUGACGGUACCUGCAGAAGAAGCGCCGGCUAACUACGUG
RNAcentral lists this ribosomal RNA (470 nucleotides) under uncultured bacterium. Its description in RNAcentral is "partial 16S ribosomal RNA". It matches the Rfam family "Bacterial small subunit ribosomal RNA", at positions 28 to 507 of the family's 1533-position model. The record is from RNAcentral.